CCUACAACAUCAACAUAACUUAAAUCUUAUCUGCUGUCAGAGACAUUGCUCAAAUUUUUUUUACCCUCAAGUCUUUCCUGACUUUGCACGGUUGGAGUGGAUCUUCCUUUUUCUCUCUACUCCCGCUAUACCUCACUGACAUCACUCUUUUUGGCGUUUAAUUUUACUUUGUGAACUGUUUAUUUUGCCGCUCUAAUAUUAGAUUGUAAGCUCCUAGAAGCCAAAAACAUUAAGAAUACGCUUAUUAUCCUGAAAUAGAAGGCUUAAGACUUGCUCAUCACUUUUCCCACUAUCAGAAAUGUAGUGCCUUCUCAAAUGCUCGGCCCCAUACACGUUCUUUAAGUUCAUAAUGGCCACUUGACGUCCUGUGGGCAAUGAAAGAUGUAGAAUGACUACUACAAAGAAAAAGCUUCAUCCACCUCUUCAGGCAGGAAUGUACUGGAGAGAGUGACUGAUGCAAAUCCAGGUCAUUCCAGAAAUUUUUUUGAAAAAAGCAAAGCUGGACAGGUUGGGGACCAAACGUUGAGGAAUAAGGCAAGACUCAGAGAGCGAGCUGGAAACAGAGCUUGAGUCCCUUACUGCUGUGAACUCCAAGAACGAGAGAGAGAGAGAGAAGAAGCAAGUAGCGAAAAGGCAAAAGGAAUAAAGCUUUCAUAUUGGAGAUGAAGAUCUUGAUCCGUGAUCUUGGGAGAGCUGUCCACUACAAGGUGCCAUCCUGUUUUGAGGAAAAGCACAUAUGUAAUUAUCUGAAUUGGAAGCAGAAUUGGCAGCUUUCUUCAUGGAACACCAUUUUUACUUGAAAGAAUAACUGAAAAACAGACAAACUAUGAUUAGUCAAACUUGCAUCUUCAGUGGACAUUUUCUCAAAAAUGAAUGAAAUUCCAGAUUGUAACUAACGUUUAAGAAACUAUUAAUUGUCAAGUUUUGGCAUAGUUUCAAAAAAGAACAUCCAUGAUGAUCUGAAAGGCUAUUAAAAAUACUUCUUUUU
Molecule: long non-coding RNA, 988 nt
Filed under: Equus caballus (horse)
Lineage: Eukaryota; Metazoa; Chordata; Mammalia; Perissodactyla; Equidae
Description: lncRNA (ENSECAG00000058105.1)
Source: RNAcentral